RNAcentral lists this ribosomal RNA (497 nucleotides) under uncultured bacterium. Its description in RNAcentral is "partial 16S ribosomal RNA". It matches the Rfam family "Bacterial small subunit ribosomal RNA", at positions 28 to 507 of the family's 1533-position model. The record is from RNAcentral.
GAUGAACGCUGGCGGCGUGCCUAAUACAUGCAAGUCGAGCGAACAGAUGAGGAGCUUGCUCCUCUGACGUUAGCGGCGGACGGGUGAGUAACACGUGGAUAACCUACCUAUAAGACUGGGAUAACUUCGGGAAACCGGAGCUAAUACCGGAUAAUAUAUUGAACCGCAUGGUUCAAUAGUGAAAGACGGUUUUGCUGUCACUUAUAGAUGGAUCCGCGCCGCAUUAGCUAGUUGGUAAGGUAACGGCUUACCAAGGCAACGAUGCGUAGCCGACCUGAGAGGGUGAUCGGCCACACUGGAACUGAGACACGGUCCAGACUCCUACGGUAGGCAGCAGUAGGGAAUCUUCCGCAAUGGGCGAAAGCCUGACGGAGCAACGCCGCGUGAGUGAUGAAGGUCUUCGGAUCGUAAAACUCUGUUAUUAUGGAAGAACAAAUGUGUAAGUAACUAUGCACGUCUUGACGGUACCUAAUCAGAAAGCCACGGCUAACUACGUG